CACGUAGGGUGCGAGCGUUGUCCGGAAUUAUUGGGCGUAAAGAGCUCGUAGGCGGUGUGUCGCGUCGGCCGUGAAAACCUGCAGCUUAACUGUGGGCUUGCGGUCGAUACGGGCAUCACUGGAGUUCGGCAGGGGAGACUGGAAUUCCUGGUGUAGCGGUGAAAUGCGUAGAUAUCGUAAGGAAGACCGGUGGCGAAGGCGGGUCUCUGGACAGUUCCUGACGCUGAGGCACGAAGGCCAGGGGAGCAAACGGG
This 254-nucleotide ribosomal RNA is filed under the name uncultured bacterium. Its description in RNAcentral is "partial 16S ribosomal RNA". It matches the Rfam family "Bacterial small subunit ribosomal RNA", at positions 524 to 776 of the family's 1533-position model. The record is from RNAcentral.